ACGCGCUUCUUCAGUGGUGUAUAAAUCCUGUGCGCGACAUUCCCCAGUCUUUCCUGUUCUUCAUGGCGAUGUUGUAUGACACUCCUCUCCACAGGCGCUCCGCUGUGACUGUUUAAGGCUUGUUCUUCCUUAAAAGUGCCAUGAUGGUGCUUUUGUCCACCCCUUCUCCAGGCUGAAUCCUGUGGAUCACCGGAUCACUGUGUGCGAGUGCACUGCUGAUAUGUCGAGUUCCUUAGACACAUGGUCGUGACCUGCUGAAUUGAGUGCAGGCAGAAGGCAUUCCUGGUCUUUCUUAAGAGCUGUGGUUCAGCAUGGUGCUGUGCGGUAGGUGCAAGAGGAAUGAGGUUAAUGUUGGGGAAGGCUGUUCAUUUUGUGCAAGAUCACGGAAGACCGACUUGAUGCUUUCCGUGUUUGUUAAAGACCUGACCCGUUGAAGAAUAAAGUGGAAUUUCAGUGUUCAUGAAUGUCUGUGUUCAUUUGAAAUUAUUUUGUAGCCUGCGUUCUAUUCAGUUUAUUUUUUCGGAGCAGUGUUUCGCAUUCCUGCUUCUGCAGUAUCCCUGCCCUGUACAUUUGGAGUGGGGGGGGGGGGGUGGAGUCUGUAAGGGCAAUAUGAGGAAUAUCAGUUUUCAAAUACACUUCUACGAUAUGCCUCAUGAUGUAUAGGGUUGCUCACAAACUGCUGCCAAAUACAGUGGUGUUACUCUUAAUAUAAAUUUGAAUAAAUAUUUUUAUUUAGGGGGAGAAAUUAACACAAGUUUAAGAAUUUAGAGUACAUUUUAAUGGUAAGUGACCCUUAGCUUGUAUCUUUAAACAUCUGUUUAUUUGGAGCAGGUGUGUUCUCUAAUUUUUAUACAUGUAAUGUAAAAAUUUGUUAAUAUAAAGCUUAUGACCUAAAUCCUUAUUUUCUGACUGAAAUGGACAGUAAAUGUGUUUUCUUUAAUUUUCCAAAUAUGUAAAAGCUGUCACUUUAUAGAGUUGAACAGUGCAUACUGCACACAUUUUAGGCUUGUAUGUUAAAAUAACCUGUUGCUAUAUAACAUGCAUUAUUGCAUCUCGAAAUAAAGGUUGGUUCCUCCA
Long non-coding RNA from Ictalurus furcatus (blue catfish), 1077 nucleotides. RefSeq lists it as uncharacterized. Lineage: Eukaryota; Metazoa; Chordata; Actinopteri; Siluriformes; Ictaluridae. The record is from RefSeq and is a predicted model, not a curated record. The transcript has 6 exons.